UACGAAGGGGGCUAGCGUUGUUCGGAUUUACUGGGCGUAAAGCGCACGUAGGCGGAUCGUUAAGUCGGGGGUGAAAUCCUGGAGCUCAACUCCAGAACUGCCUUCGAUACUGGCGAUCUCGAGUCCGGAAGAGGUGAGUGGAACUCCUAGUGUAGAGGUGGAAUUCGUAGAUAUUAGGAAGAACACCAGUGGCGAAGGCGGCUCACUGGUCCGGUACCGACGCUGAUGUGCGAAAGCGUGGGGAGCAAACAGG
RNAcentral lists this ribosomal RNA (253 nucleotides) under uncultured bacterium. Its description in RNAcentral is "partial 16S ribosomal RNA". It matches the Rfam family "Bacterial small subunit ribosomal RNA", at positions 524 to 776 of the family's 1533-position model. The record is from RNAcentral.